RNAcentral lists this ribosomal RNA (159 nucleotides) under Helotiales sp. Its description in RNAcentral is "partial large subunit ribosomal RNA". It matches the Rfam family "Eukaryotic large subunit ribosomal RNA", at positions 99 to 260 of the family's 3401-position model. Lineage: Eukaryota; Fungi; Ascomycota; Leotiomycetes; Helotiales. The record is from RNAcentral.
CGGUAACAGCUCAAAUUUGAAAUCUGCCGCAAGGCCGAGUUGUAAUUUGUAGAAGAUGCUUUGGGUAUGGCCCCGGUCUAAGUUCCUUGGAACAGGUCAUCAUAGAGGGUGAGAAUCCCGUAUGUGGCUGCUUGUCUUCGCCGUGUAAAGCCCCUUCGA